RNAcentral lists this ribosomal RNA (486 nucleotides) under uncultured bacterium. RNAcentral's name for it is "bacterial SSU rRNA". It matches the Rfam family "Bacterial small subunit ribosomal RNA", at positions 30 to 517 of the family's 1533-position model. The record is from RNAcentral.
AUUGAACGCUGGCGGCAUGCCUUACACAUGCAAGUCGAACGGUAACGGGCCUUCGGGUGCCGACGAGUGGCGAACGGGUGAGUAAUGCAUCGGAACGUACCUUUCAGUGGGGGAUAACGUAGCGAAAGUUACGCUAAUACCGCAUAUUCUGUGAGCAGGAAAGCAGGGGAUCGCAAGACCUUGCGCUGAUUGAGCGGCCGAUGUCAGAUUAGCUAGUUGGUGAGGUAAAGGCUCACCAAGGCGACGAUCUGUAGCGGGUCUGAGAGGAUGAUCCGCCACACUGGAACUGAGACACGGUCCAGACUCCUACGGGAGGCAGCAGUGGGGAAUUUUGGACAAUGGGGGCAACCCUGAUCCAGCCAUGCCGCGUGAGUGAAGAAGGCCUUGGUGUAAGCUCUUCGGUCGGAAGAAUCGCAUAGGCUAAUACCCUGUGUGGAUGACGGUACCGGAAUAAGAAGCACCGGCUAACUACGUGCCAGCAGACCG